CGAACGCUGGCGGCGUGCCUAAUACAUGCAAGUCGAACGAACUCUGGUAUUGAUUGGUGCUUGCAUCAUGAUUUACAUUUGAGUGAGUGGCGAACUGGUGAGUAACACGUGGGAAACCUGCCCAGAAGCGGGGGAUAACACCUGGAAACAGAUGCUAAUACCGCAUAACAACUUGGACCGCAUGGUCCGAGCUUGAAAGAUGGCUUCGGCUAUCACUUUUGGAUGGUCCCGCGGCGUAUUAGCUAGAUGGUGGGGUAACGGCUCACCAUGGCAAUGAUACGUAGCCGACCUGAGAGGGUAAUCGGCCACAUUGGGACUGAGACACGGCCCAAACUCCUACGGGAGGCAGCAGUAGGGAAUCUUCCACAAUGGACGAAAGUCUGAUGGAGCAACGCCGCGUGAGUGAAGAAGGGUUUCGGCUCGUAAAACUCUGUUGUUAAAGAAGAACAUAUCUGAGAGUAACUGUUCAGGUAUUGACGGUAUUUAACCAGAAAGCCACGGCUAACUACGUGCCAGCAGCCGCGGUAAUACGUAGGUGGCAAGCGUUGUCCGGAUUUAUUGGGCGUAAAGCGAGCGCAGGCGGUUUUUUAAGUCUGAUGUGAAAGCCUUCGGCUCAACCGAAGAAGUGCAUCGGAAACUGGGAAACUUGAGUGCAGAAGAGGACAGUGGAACUCCAUGUGUAGCGGUGAAAUGCGUAGAUAUAUGGAAGAACACCAGUGGCGAAGGCGGCUGUCUGGUCUGUAACUGACGCUGAGGCUCGAAAGUAUGGGUAGCAAACAGGAUUAGAUACCCUGGUAGUCCAUACCGUAAACGAUGAAUGCUAAGUGUUGGAGGGUUUCCGCCCUUCAGUGCUGCAGCUAACGCAUUAAGCAUUCCGCCUGGGGAGUACGGCCGCAAGGCUGAAACUCAAAGGAAUUGACGGGGGCCCGCACAAGCGGUGGAGCAUGUGGUUUAAUUCGAAGCUACGCGAAGAACCUUACCAGGUCUGACAUACUAUGCAAAUCUAAGAGAUUAGACGUUCCCUUCGGGGACAUGGAUACAGGUGGUGCAUGGUUGUCGUCAGCUCGUGUCGUGAGAUGUUGGGUUAAGUCCCGCAACGAGCGCAACCCUUAUUAUCAGUUGCCAGCAUUAAGUUGGGCACUCUGGUGAGACUGCCGGUGACAAACCGGAGGAAGGUGGGGAUGACGUCAAAUCAUCAUGCCCCUUAUGACCUGGGCUACACACGUGCUACAAUGGAUGGUACAACGAGUUGCGAACUCGCGAGAGUAAGCUAAUCUCUUAAAGCCAUUCUCAGUUCGGAUUGUAGGCUGCAACUCGCCUACAUGAAGUCGGAAUCGCUAGUAAUCGCGGAUCAGCAUGCCGCGGUGAAUACGUUCCCGGGCCUUGUACACACCGCCCGUCACACCAUGAGAGUUUGUAACACCCAAAGUCGGUGGGGUAACCUUUUAGGAACCAGCCGCCUAAGGUGGGA
This 1471-nucleotide ribosomal RNA is filed under the name Lactiplantibacillus plantarum. RNAcentral's name for it is "bacterial SSU rRNA". It matches the Rfam family "Bacterial small subunit ribosomal RNA". The record is from RNAcentral. Lineage: Bacteria; Bacillati; Bacillota; Bacilli; Lactobacillales; Lactobacillaceae.